This is a non-coding RNA of Immersiella caudata, 102 nucleotides long. The record is from the annotation of a GenBank genome assembly. NCBI's taxonomy places the organism in Eukaryota, Fungi, Ascomycota, Sordariomycetes, Sordariales, Lasiosphaeriaceae.
GAGCGGGUAGCGUAGUGGUCAGCGCGCUCACUAAGCGUUGAUCAGCUUUGCUUUUCCGGCAGCGUUUAGCAAGAGACCUGGGUUCGAACCCCAGCCCGCCCA